CACCGGCGGCUCGAGUGGUGGCCACUUUUAUUGGGUCUAAAGCGUCCGUAGCCGGCUUGGCAAGUCCCCUGGGAAAUCUGGCGGCUUAACCGUCAGGCGUCCAGAGGAUACUGCCAGGCUUGGGACCGGGAGAGGUGAGAGGUACCUCAGGGGUAGGGGUGAAAUCUUGUGAUCCCUGAGGGACCACCAGUGGCGAAGGCGUCUCACUAGAACGGGUCCGACGGUCAGGGACGAAAGCUGGGGGCUCGAACCGG
This 254-nucleotide ribosomal RNA is filed under the name uncultured microorganism. RNAcentral describes it as "partial 16S ribosomal RNA". It matches the Rfam family "Archaeal small subunit ribosomal RNA", at positions 474 to 727 of the family's 1478-position model. The record is from RNAcentral.